This 563-nucleotide ribosomal RNA is filed under the name Xylaria sp. ZJ19-B. Its description in RNAcentral is "eukaryotic LSU rRNA". The stretch from base 220 to 373 matches the Rfam family "5.8S ribosomal RNA". Lineage: Eukaryota; Fungi; Ascomycota; Sordariomycetes; Xylariales; Xylariaceae. The record is from RNAcentral.
GAUCUAGUCACCAUUAGAGGAAGUAAAAGUCGUAACAAGGUCUCCGUUGGUGAACCAGCGGAGGGAUCAUUACUGAGUUAUCACAACUCCCAACCCAUGUGAACUUACCUUCUGUUGCCUCGGCAGGGCGCACCCCGCGAGGGGCUUGCUGGCCUGCCGGUGGACUACUAAACUCUUGUUUUUUUCGUGGAACUCUGAGUAACAAAACAUAAUAAUCAAAACUUUCAACAACGGAUCUCUUGGUUCUGGCAUCGAUGAAGAACGCAGCGAAAUGCGAUAAGUAAUGUGAAUUGCAGAAUUCAGUGAAUCAUCGAAUCUUUGAACGCACAUUGCGCCUAUUAGUAUUCUAGUAGGCAUGCCUGUUCGAGCGUCAUUUCAACCCUCAAGCCCUGGUUGCUUGGUGUUGGGAGCCUGCCGUAAGACGCAGCUCCCCAAAGCUAGCUGGCAGAGCUAGGGUGUGCUCUAAGCGUAGUAGAAUCUCCUCUCGCUUCGGACGCCGCCCCGGCCCUCUCGCCAUUAAAGCCCCAAACUUUUCUAUGGUGACCUCGAUCAGGAGAUCGUGA